GUAAUGUAUCGGAACGUACCUUUCAGUGGGGGAUAACGUAGCGAAAGUUACGCUAAUACCGCAUAUUCUGUGAGCAGGAAAGCAGGGGAUCGCAAGACCUUGCGCUGAUUGAGCGGCCGAUAUCAGAUUAGCUAGUUGGUGAGGUAAAGGCUCACCAAGGCGACGAUCUGUAGCGGGUCUGAGAGGAUGAUCCGCCACACUGGAACUGAGACACGGUCCAGACUCCUACGGGAGGCAGCAGUGGGGAAUUUUGGACAAUGGGGGCAACCCUGAUCCAGCCAUGCCGCGUGAGUGAAGAAGGCCUUCGGGUUGUAAAGCUCUUUCGGCCGGGAAGAAAUCGUAUGGGUUAAUACCCUGUGCGGAUGACGGUACCGGCAUAAGAAGCACCGGCUAACUACGUGCCAGCAGCCGCGGUAAUACGUAGGGUGCGAGCGUUAAUCGGAAUUACUGGGCGUAAAGCGUGCGCAGGCGGUUUUGUAAGACAGGCGUGAAAUCCCCGGGCUCAACCUGGGAACUGCGCUUGUGACUGCAAGGCUAGAGUAUGGCAGAGGGGGGUGGAAUUCCACGUGUAGCAGUGAAAUGCGUAGAGAUGUGGAGGAACACCAAUGGCGAAGGCAGCCCCCUGGGCCAAUACUGACGCUCAUGCACGAAAGCGUGGGUAGCAAACAGGAUUAGAUACCCUGGUAGUCCACGCCCUAAACGAUGUCAACUAGGUGUUGGGUGGGUAAAACCAUUUAGUACCGGAGCUAACGCGUGAAGUUGACCGCCUGGGGAGUACGGCCGCAAGGUUAAAACUCAAAGGAAUUGACGGGGACCCGCACAAGCGGUGGAUGAUGUGGAUUAAUUCGAUGCAACGCGAAAAACCUUACCUACCCUUGACAUGUCCAGGAGCCUGAAGAGAUUUGGGUGUGCCCGAAAGGGAACUGGAACACAGGUGCUGCAUGGCUGUCGUCAGCUCGUGUCGUGAGAUGUUGGGUUAAGUCCCGCAACGAGCGCAACCCUUGUCGUUAAUUGCCAUCAUUUAGUUGGGCACUUUAACGAGACUGCCGGUGACAAACCGGAGGAAGGUGGGGAUGACGUCAAGUCCUCAUGGCCCUUAUGGGUAGGGCUUCACACGUCAUACAAUGGUCGGUACAAAGGGUUGCCAACCCGCGAGGGGGAGCCAAUCCCAGAAAGCCGAUCGUAGUCCGGAUUGCAGGCUGCAACUCGCCUGCAUGAAGUCGGAAUCGCUAGUAAUCGUGGAUCAGCAUGUCACGGUGAAUACGUUCCCGGGUCUUGUACACACCGCCCGUCACACCAUGGGAGCGGGUUCCGCCAGAAGUAGGUAGCCUAACCGCAAGGGGGGCGCUUACCACGGCGGGGUUCGUGACUGGGGUGAAGUCGUAACAAGGUA
RNAcentral lists this ribosomal RNA (1393 nucleotides) under metagenome. RNAcentral describes it as "bacterial SSU rRNA". It matches the Rfam family "Bacterial small subunit ribosomal RNA". The record is from RNAcentral.